AGGACGAACGCUGGCGGCGUGCCUAACACAUGCAAGUCGAACGCGCUCCAUUCGGUAGCAAUACUGAUGAAGAGCGAGUGGCGAACGGGUGAGUAGCACGUGAGCAACCUGCCCCGAAGACCGGGACAACACCGGGAAACCGGUGCUAAUACCGGAUAUCCCUAUCGGACCGCAUGAUCUGAUAAGGAAAUGGAUUCCGCUUCGGGAGGGGCUCGCGGCCUAUCAGCUAGUUGGUGAGGUAACGGCCCACCAAGGCAUCGACGGGUAGCUGGUCUGAGAGGACGAUCAGCCACACUGGGACUGAGACACGGCCCAGACUCCUACGGGAGGCAGCAGUGGGAAUCUUGCGCAAUGGGUGAAAGCCUGACGCAGCAACGCCGCGUGGAGGACGAAGGCUUUCUGAGUUGUAAACUCCUUUCAGCAGGGACGAUAGUGACGGUACCUGCAGAAGAGCACCGGCCAACUACGCGCCAGCAGCCGCGGUAAC
RNAcentral lists this ribosomal RNA (487 nucleotides) under uncultured bacterium. RNAcentral's name for it is "SSU rRNA". It matches the Rfam family "Bacterial small subunit ribosomal RNA", at positions 26 to 524 of the family's 1533-position model. The record is from RNAcentral.